GACGAACGCUGGCGGCGUGCUUAACACAUGCGAGUCGAACGGAAAGGCCUGCUUUCCCUUGUGGAUUGCGGGUACUCGAGUGGCGAACGGGUGAGUAACACGUGAGUGAUCUGCCCCCAACUUGGGUAUAAGCCUGGGAAACUGGGUCUAAUUCCCGAUAGGACUGCAGGGUGGUGCCUGUGGUGGAAAACGAUUUUCUAGUGGUUGGGGAUGAGCUCGCGGCCUAUCAGCUUGUUGGUGGGGUAAUGGCCUACCAAGGCGGCGACGGGUAGCCGGCCUGAGAGGGUGGACGGCCACAUUGGGACUGAGAUACGGCCCAGACUCCUACGGGAGGCAGCAGUGGGGAAUAUUGCACAAUGGGCGGAAGCCUGAUGCAGCGACGCCGCGUGGGGGAUGACGGCCUUCGGGUUGUAAACUCCUUUCGACCGCGAGGAAGCCACCUGGUUGGAAGGGUGGUGACGGUAGUGGGAGAAGAAGCACCGGCUAACUACGUGC
RNAcentral lists this ribosomal RNA (495 nucleotides) under uncultured bacterium. RNAcentral describes it as "partial 16S ribosomal RNA". It matches the Rfam family "Bacterial small subunit ribosomal RNA", at positions 28 to 508 of the family's 1533-position model. The record is from RNAcentral.